AAAGGUAAUCCAUCAGUUUUCCCUUGUCAUAUGAACAUUGAUUAUUUUUCGUGUAUUAAAUUGGAAUUGCAUGUGGUGAAUGAUUUAUAGUUGAUUGAUUUUGCAAUUCAUAUUAUCAAUUUAUAAUUAUUACUGUAGGUUGGAGCAAAAGUAUAUUUGAGAAGUAUGUUUGAAUCAUCAAAAAUUGUAGCAAUUGGUAUUCUUGCAAGCUUAGAUCCAUCAAAAUGCGUUGGGCAAGUACGACUAGGGCAAAAUUGGUGCGAAAUCAUUAUUAAUGUUGGAAUAGCUAUGGAUGAAGACUUACUUCGACCGAUAUCAGAUUCUAGAACUACUAUUGGUGAUGCUAUUGGUGAGGCUAUUGCAUGGCCACAUAACUUGGUUACAGUAGAUGGAUAAUUUUCAGAACAUGGACUUCGAGAUUUCAUGGCGACGAGCUUUCAAGUUCUGAUAUAAGAUAAUUUCCUAGGUGACUUUGUUUUUUGAUGAGCUUUAGGUAUUGCUCAUGUUCUGGUACAUUUUGCAAAAUUGUUAGACUUUAUUGAUAUUAUAUGUUUUUCUAUUAAGUAGUGCAGUAACUAGAAUUUUUUUUUAGAAGAACUUUUUGUUUGAAAUGAAAAUAUUUGUUACUUUACUAUU
Erythranthe guttata (spotted monkey flower) is the source of this 636-nucleotide non-coding RNA. Lineage: Eukaryota; Viridiplantae; Streptophyta; Magnoliopsida; Lamiales; Phrymaceae. The record is from RefSeq and is a predicted model, not a curated record.